CCAUGGCUAGGCUCUCGGUUUGUUCGGCGGAGGAGGCGAGGACGUCCUUGGCAAAGCCGUCGAUCAAGAUCCCAGCUGAGUUGCGGCGUACACAAGCUAUUGAACCUUCAAAGGAACCAGGUUGCUGCAGCUUUUCCCAUCCUGAUCAAGAGGCCCUCAUUCGCAUGCGUUGAAGAAUUCCAUGCUGUUUGUAUAACUUCUUUGCAUUCUUCAUCUUCUAGCCAAAAAGCUUCGAAACUGAAAUUUUUCUUCUGCCUCUUACGGGCUUGAUAGGUAGACAAUAGGAUCGAGCUAUGGUCAGAACCAAUAGCCGGUAAUGCAUAGAUUUCUGCCUCAGGGAAUUGUA
Syzygium oleosum is the source of this 346-nucleotide long non-coding RNA. RefSeq lists it as uncharacterized. NCBI's taxonomy places the organism in Eukaryota, Viridiplantae, Streptophyta, Magnoliopsida, Myrtales, Myrtaceae. The transcript has 2 exons. The record is from RefSeq and is a predicted model, not a curated record.